RNAcentral lists this ribosomal RNA (641 nucleotides) under Cortinarius ochrophyllus. RNAcentral describes it as "eukaryotic LSU rRNA". It matches the Rfam family "Eukaryotic large subunit ribosomal RNA", at positions 1 to 625 of the family's 3401-position model. Lineage: Eukaryota; Fungi; Basidiomycota; Agaricomycetes; Agaricales; Cortinariaceae. The record is from RNAcentral.
UGACCUCAAAUCAGGUAGGACUACCCGCUGAACUUAAGCAUAUCAAUAAGCGGAGGAAAAGAAACUAACAAGGAUUCCCCUAGUAACUGCGAGUGAAGCGGGAAAAGCUCAAAUUUAAAAUCUGGCAGCCUUUGGUUGUCCGAGUUGUAAUCUAGAGAAGUGUUAUCCGCGCUGGACCGUGUACAAGUCUCCUGGAAUGGAGCGUCAUAGAGGGUGAGAAUCCCGUCUUUGACACGGACUGCCAGGGCUUUGUGAUGCGCUCUCAAAGAGUCGAGUUGUUUGGGAAUGCAGCUCAAAAUGGGUGGUAAAUUCCAUCUAAAGCUAAAUAUUGGCGAGAGACCGAUAGCGAACAAGUACCGUGAGGGAAAGAUGAAAAGAACUUUGGAAAGAGAGUUAAACAGUACGUGAAAUUGCUGAAAGGGAAACGCUUGAAGUCAGUCGCGUUGUCCAGGGAUCAACCUUGCUUUUGCUUGGUGCACUUUCUGGUUGACGGGUCAGCAUCAAUUUUGACUAUUGGAAAAAGAUUAGGGGAAUGUGGCAUCUUUGGAUGUGUUAUAGCCCUUGGUUGCAUACAAUGGUUGGGAUUGAGGAACUCAGCACGCCGCAAGGCCGGGUUUUUAACCACGUACGUGCUUAGGAUG